Molecule: long non-coding RNA, 909 nt
Organism: Rhododendron vialii
Lineage: Eukaryota; Viridiplantae; Streptophyta; Magnoliopsida; Ericales; Ericaceae
Exons: 2
Source: RefSeq, a predicted model, not a curated record
GCAGCUGAGAAAUACAAACAGAGGCUCUUGGACCGAGACCGACACGGCGACGUUCUGGAGUCGAGUAAGAAUUGUGAGGCUGCGACGGCGGCCUGGCGAUCUCAGUGCGCUGUCGGCAUGUGAAAUGACUCAGUCCGAAGGGCGAGGGCAAUCUCAAUCCGAAAAUAAGAAGGCGAUUUCACAUCUCAGUCUCGACUCAUGUCGGAGCAGGACAUUAAAGCAACGAUUAUGGUUCCACGGAGGAUCCACUAACCAAUCAGAGCUAUAGCUUCCCAUGUACGGAUACCACAACCUCGCAAACCUGAAGUUGGCAAAGUGUGUGCAACUACAUUCGCCAAUCUACAAAUGAAAAGAAAAUCACAAAUUCUGAACCAAUCAACUUUGCUGCGAAUAUCUUCGAUGACAACUUCCACUUCCGUAGAACAAGACCACACACAUAAAGAUUUAUGUUUGCUUCAACGGCGAAAGUCGGUUUUUGUUAAAGUUGAACUCCUGACAUUCGUACUCCUGACACCUAAGUGCACUCCACAUGUCGUUGGGCCAAAAGGCCCUACAUAAAGAUUUGCAAAUCAGGAAUUUUGGGUUGUAGCAGCAGAUGUGGAGGCACACAGCUCUCUAUUUUUUCAGCAAAUAUCUUUUCUGUUCAGUGAUGACUAUAAAUUUAAAGGCUAAAGACAAAAUUCUGAUGACUAGGGUAGUUUUUGUAGCAGCAAAGUUAUAAACAAAUGUUCUCAUAAAAUGAAGCAACUUAAAAUAUCGAUUACCAUGCUUGUGAAAACAUGGCACAAUUUAAUCGCCGAACUGUAUGCCUCAGUGAUUUUGUUAUUUUGGUUCUGAAAAGGGAAAAACCAACAUACCUCAAACUGUAUGCCCAUUCCUUCUCUAAUUUGUGUUCGUCAUUAAAGAAAA